AGAUACACUAAUAAAUAGCUCAGAUACAUUAAAAACUAGCUCGGAUACAGUUAAUACUUGUUCGAAUACAUUAAUAUGCAGCUCGGACACAUUAAAGAAAUAAGAAAUUUAUGAAAUUUUUAAAAGUAGAUAACGAUUAAUGAAAAUAAGUGAAACAAAAUGUGUAUUUCUGUAAUUUAAUAAUAUCUCUGUUUGACGGAAAUGGGCCUAGAGAAUUAGGGCCUUCAUCAACUCCUCCUGGACUUCAAUGAUUGGUCUGCCAAAAGCCCAAUAUUGAUCAAGUUCACAAGAGUCGCUGAGACUCAUUGGGCCGACAUGAUUUGAAGUAAUUUGGUCCAAUACAUACAAAGUAUCAAACUUUUAAGUUUUAAGUACAUUUAACAGUGAAAAAACUACUUAAUUAUACAAACAAUAUUACCAUAAAUGCUAAUCCAUAAUAUAAUCUAAUAUAAUUACAUGUAUUCUCACGAAUUAAUAAUUUCAUAUCAAAUUUCUAGUUAGCAGGAAGUGAUUCCAUCUCAAGUAAGAAAUUGAGGCCCAAGACAAAGUAUUGAUCCAACAAGUAGAAGACAUGUGGAUGACCAUGUGUUUGGCUAAUUUGGGAAGCUACGGCUAAUGGUAAAAAUUUAUUCGUGCUCGAUAUUCGUAUUAUAUUAAUUGUAAAUAUCAAAUCGAUAUUUGUUUUCUCCUUAUUUAUUCAUCAAUUAUAUUUAAAUUUUUUGGUUUAAUAUAGCUAUAAUAUUUACCUAGCUUAUCCUUUUUGCAAUUAAAACUAUAUAGUUGAUUGAUUUUAGUAAUUCAAGUCCAGCAAAGACAAACCAUGUUCAUGGCCAUCUUUAUUUGGCACAAUGUGAGAUGGCCAUUUCCUUUAGACUCAAUAAUUAACCUUAAUUAUUCCCUAUACCUAAUAAUAUUAAGAAAAUCCUAUAGACUAAAGUUUUUCUUUUAUGAUGAUUAUAAGUAAAAUAUUGUCAUUAUGCUUAUGUGCAAUGAACAAUUCAGACAAAUAUAAUGUCUUUAAUUCCUAGUUCAAACCAAAAGACAUCUUAAUCAUAAUGAAACUUUCACGUUUGGUGUGGGAAAAGAGAAAAAAUUACUUACAUACUGUCUCAUGUCACUCAUACUUUAACUUUCGCUUUUAAUGCAUUUUUCUAUGAAAGUUCUUGUUAGUCAUAAUUUUGUGAUUUCUAAUUUAAAAACUUUUUCUCUCAAAUAUAAUAAAAUUGAAACUCAAAGUUUGAACAAGUUGACGAAUAUUAAUAUAAUAUAAUAUACUUUCACUCUUUUUUUUUUUUCACUUUCUAACGUGAAAAAGAAGUUAGAGUUGAG
This 1329-nucleotide unclassified non-coding RNA is filed under the name Hevea brasiliensis (rubber tree). Lineage: Eukaryota; Viridiplantae; Streptophyta; Magnoliopsida; Malpighiales; Euphorbiaceae. The record is from RNAcentral.